RNAcentral lists this ribosomal RNA (137 nucleotides) under uncultured eukaryote. RNAcentral describes it as "partial 18S ribosomal RNA". It matches the Rfam family "Eukaryotic small subunit ribosomal RNA", at positions 1299 to 1458 of the family's 1831-position model. The record is from RNAcentral.
UGGUGGAGCGAUUUGUCUGGUUAAUUCCGAUAACGAACGAGACUCUAGCCUAUUAAAUAGUUCGCCGAUUUUUCGAGUCGGCGUCAACUUCUUAGAGGGACAAGUGUCGUAUAGGCGCGCGAGAUUGAGCAAUAACA